Molecule: ribosomal RNA, 301 nt
Filed under: uncultured bacterium
Lineage: Bacteria
Description: partial 16S ribosomal RNA
Rfam family: Bacterial small subunit ribosomal RNA
Source: RNAcentral
CAGUCGCCGCGUAAUACGAAGGGGGCUAGCGUUGCUCGGAAUCACUGGGCGUAAAGGGCUCGCAGGCGGUUUCUUAAGUCUGAUGUGAAAGCCCCCGGCUCAACCGGGGAGGGUCAUUGGAAACUAGGAAACUUGAGUGCAGAAGAGGAGAGUGGAAUUCCACGUGUAGCGGUGAAAUGCGUAGAGAUGUGGAGGAACACCAGUGGCGAAGGCGACUCUCUGGUCUGUAACUGACGCUGAGGAGCGAAAGCGUGGGGAGCGAACAGGAUUAGAUACCCCUGUAGUCCCUGUCUCUUAUACA